UACGUAGGGUGCGAGCGUUAAUCGGAAUUACUGGGCGUAAAGCGUGCGCAGGCGGUUUGUUAAGCCAGAUGUGAAAGCCCCGGGCUCAACCUGGGAACUGCGUUUGGUACUGGCAAGCUAGAGUACGGCAGAAGGGGGUGGAAUUCCACGUGUAGCAGUGAAAUGCGUAGAGAUGUGGAGGAACACCGAUGGCGAAGGCAGCCCCCUGGGCCGAUACUGACGCUCAGGCACGAAAGCGUGGGGAGCAAACAGGAUUAGAUACCCUGGUAGUCCACGCCCUAAACGAUGCGAACUAGUCGUUGGAGUAGCAAUACUUUAGUGACGCAGCUAACGCGUGAAGUUCGCCGCCUGGGGAGUACGGUCGCAAGAUUAAA
Molecule: ribosomal RNA, 374 nt
Filed under: uncultured bacterium
Lineage: Bacteria
Description: bacterial SSU rRNA
Rfam family: Bacterial small subunit ribosomal RNA
Source: RNAcentral